Molecule: ribosomal RNA, 322 nt
Filed under: uncultured eukaryote
Lineage: Eukaryota
Description: partial 18S ribosomal RNA
Rfam family: Eukaryotic small subunit ribosomal RNA
Source: RNAcentral
CCCUUAGAUGUUCUGGGCCGCACGCGCGCUACACUGACGAAUGCAACGAGCUUAUAACCUUGGCCGAAAGGUCUGGGUAAUCUCCAAAUUUCGUCGUGAUGGGGAUAGAUUAUUGCAAUUAUUAAUCUUCAACGAGGAAUGCCUAGUAAGCGCAAGUCAUCAGCUUGCGUUGAUUACGUCCCUGCCCUUUGUACACACCGCCCGUCGCUCCUACCGAUUGGAUGGUCCGGUGAAAUCUUCGGAUAGCUGGUGCGUUGGCUUGCCAGUGUACUGCUAAAAGUUGAUUAAACCUUAUCAUCUAGAGGAACAAGAAGUCGUAACA